UUAUAAUCAUUCAAAGCUGCCUCGUUAUACAGUGAUGUAUAGCAGGUCCAAGACAUGGCUAUAUGCGAAGAGGUUUUGACACGAAAGCGUCAAGAUUAUUCGCAGGGAAGUAUUAUAAACUUCAUAGAGGAAUUUUUUCUCAACAGGGUGACGGAGGGAGGGGUUGUAUCUAGAAACAAUAUCCUUCUCACAGGUGAAGGGGAGGUUUUGUGUGUAUAUCACAUUACCUCUUCUUCACUUCUUCUAUGAAGUUUAUAAUACCCCUCAGAGACCAAACGCCAUGGAUCUUUCGAAAGAAAGAUUAAGAUAUGGUCCUUCGUAGAAAGAAACGA
RNAcentral lists this non-coding RNA (332 nucleotides) under Parcubacteria group bacterium GW2011_GWA2_40_14. The record is from RNAcentral.